AUGCUAACCUCGCUGAGGACAUUGAUUGUAAAAGAAUCAGUUGGUCUAGUUGGACCACUAGGAGGAGGUCAGAGUGAUGUGGAAUGGCAGCUCCCUGUUGAGUAUAUCAAGAUCUACAAAUUAAAUGGUAAUACUGGCAAGGAACUGACAGAGCUCCUCCCCCACCUCCCAAAGCUCUCCAAAUUGGUAAUAUGGUGGUGUAAAAGCAUAAAAAAGCUGGUAGUGGGGGUGGAUGUGCAACAAACAACACAAGAAGCAUCAGAGAUGCAGCAGCAGAGGAAGAGGAUGAUGGGGUGCUGCUCCUCCCAGCUCAUCUCUGUGACUCACUACGGGAAUUGUGGUUCAAUUACUGCCCAGAGCUGGUCCUGGUUGACCCUCCAACUCUUGUUCCUGGUGGAGGAUGGCUCCAAGCCUUGCGAUCCCUCCAGAGAUUAA
RNAcentral lists this ribosomal RNA (435 nucleotides) under Triticum aestivum (bread wheat). RNAcentral's name for it is "partial small subunit ribosomal RNA". Lineage: Eukaryota; Viridiplantae; Streptophyta; Magnoliopsida; Poales; Poaceae. The record is from RNAcentral.